RNAcentral lists this ribosomal RNA (1399 nucleotides) under uncultured bacterium. Its description in RNAcentral is "bacterial SSU rRNA". It matches the Rfam family "Bacterial small subunit ribosomal RNA". The record is from RNAcentral.
AGAGUUUGUUUCUGGCUCAGAUUGAACGCUGGCGGCAGGCUUAACACAUGCAAGUCGAGCGGUAACAGGGGGUGCUUGCACCCCGCUGACGAGCGGCGGACGGGUGAGUAAUGCUUAGGAAUCUGCCCAGUAGUGGGGGAUAGCCCGGGGAAACCCGGAUUAAUACCGCAUACGUCCUACGGGAGAAAGCAGGGGAUCUUCGGACCUUGCGCUACUGGAUGAGCCUAAGUCGGAUUAGCUAGUUGGUGGGGUAAAGGCCUACCAAGGCGACGAUCCGUAGCUGGUCUGAGAGGAUGAUCAGCCACAUCGGGACUGAGACACGGCCCGAACUCCUACGGGAGGCAGCAGUGGGGAAUAUUGGACAAUGGGGGCAACCCUGAUCCAGCCAUGCCGCGUGUGUGAAGAAGGCUUUCGGGUUGUAAAGCACUUUCAGCGAGGAGGAAGGCUCUGAAGUUAAUACCUUCAGGGAUUGACGUUACUCGCAGAAGAAGCACCGGCUAACUCCGUGCCAGCAGCCGCGGUAAUACGGAGGGUGCAAGCGUUAAUCGGAAUUACUGGGCGUAAAGCGCGCGUAGGUGGUUAGGUAAGCGAGAUGUGAAAGCCCCGGGCUUAACCUGGGAACGGCAUUUCGAACUGUCUGACUAGAGUGUGGUAGAGGGUAGUGGAAUUUCCUGUGUAGCGGUGAAAUGCGUAGAUAUAGGAAGGAACACCAGUGGCGAAGGCGGCUACCUGGACCAACACUGACACUGAGGUGCGAAAGCGUGGGGAGCAAACAGGAUUAGAUACCCUGGUAGUCCACGCCGUAAACGAUGUCAACUAGCCGUUGGGACUCUUGAAGUCUUAGUGGCGCAGCUAACGCACUAAGUUGACCGCCUGGGGAGUACGGCCGCAAGGUUAAAACUCAAAUGAAUUGACGGGGGCCCGCACAAGCGGUGGAGCAUGUGGUUUAAUUCGACGCAACGCGAAGAACCUUACCUGGCCUUGACAUCCAGAGAACUUUCCAGAGAUGGAUUGGUGCCUUCGGGAACUCUGAGACAGGUGCUGCAUGGCCGUCGUCAGCUCGUGUCGUGAGAUGUUGGGUUAAGUCCCGUAACGAGCGCAACCCCUAUCCCUGGUUGCUAGCAGGUAAUGCUGAGAACUCCAGGGAGACUGCCGGUGACAAACCGGAGGAAGGUGGGGAUGACGUCAGGUCAUCAUGGCCCUUACGGCCAGGGCUACACACGUGCUACAAUGGCGCGUACAGAGGGCUGCCAACUCGCGAGAGUGCGCCAAUCCCUUAAAACGCGUCGUAGUCCGGAUCGGAGUCUGCAACUCGACUCCGUGAAGUCGGAAUCGCUAGUAAUCGCGAAUCAGAAUGUCGCGGUGAAUACGUUCCCGGGCCUUGCACUCACCGCCCGUC